UUAAUUGAAGCCAAAAAGCGGCAUAUCACUGUUAAUGAUAAUAUUGGAUAAAAUUAUUCCCAAUUAAA
Molecule: transfer RNA, 68 nt
Filed under: Onthophagus gracilipes
Lineage: Eukaryota; Metazoa; Arthropoda; Insecta; Coleoptera; Scarabaeidae
Description: tRNA-Asn
Source: RNAcentral